Molecule: long non-coding RNA, 2323 nt
Organism: Planococcus citri (citrus mealybug)
Lineage: Eukaryota; Metazoa; Arthropoda; Insecta; Hemiptera; Pseudococcidae
Exons: 7
Source: RefSeq, a predicted model, not a curated record
CGUACGAUGCCGCAGCGUUCACGUUUUCAGUUUUUUGAACUUCCAAUCCAUUCUACUAUUUCUACUUCGGUUACCGGCGUACUUCACGCAUUGUGAUGAAAACGUGCAUUUUCGAUCGUUCAUAGUUACGCUUUUUUGGUAAUAAUUUAUCGGUUUUUCAUUAAUUUUCCAUCGAACGUUAGUUAAUUUCAUGAUUCUAGUCGAUAUGGUUGUACGGUGUAGUGUUCUGGUGAUAUUUUCGUAUCACAUGUGCGCCUCCGUGUACUCUAUUCAGGUAAGAAGAGGUAUUUUUCCUCGAAAGACUGUUCAAUUCAAUGAAUAAUAUUUCAACGUUGGUGCGUUUCUGGAUUCGAAAACGUGGUUCGGUGAUUUGUAGUAUGAUACGUUUGAAUUGUAAAAUUGAAUAUAGCUCGUUUUUUUCGUAUGGAAUUUUCAACAUGAUUGAUUACAUCAGUCGUAAUCGUAAUUCGUACACCACGUGUUUGACAAUUCGUAUACGUCGUACGUCGAGUAUCACUCUAGUCAACCAUCUACGAUUCUACGAUCGGCUAAAGCAUGAAGCUGCUCCUUUGCUGAAUUUGGCGGAAAUUUCAUCGGAGAAAACUGAAAAGCAUGCGGGAUACCGGUGCCGGAUGGAAAAACGACGUCGACGUCGGACGUUCUGCGCAUGCGUCAAAAAAAGAAAUUUUGUCUCGAAAAUGGAAAAGUCGUUUACCUUUUGGCCGAGUGUUUCCGAUCCGCGUGAAUUUCAUCUGUGGAAAAUUGCAAUCGAGGAAAUCGAAAAAUGCGUCUCCACCAAUGGUGAAAAUGGAAAAUGAAAACUUCGUAUUCGAGUGAGAUUGCAAAAUAUGAUGUUUGAACUUUUGAUCGGAAAAUAAUGUUUCAACGUGAUUGGAUCCAGACCUCAUGUUUUGAUAUGUAUUUCUCCAGAACAGCCAUUAUUCAACAACUCGUCGUUAACGUUAACUGGAAUUCGUCACCAACCUUCUCCAUAUAUAAUGGGAAAUCGAACGGCUGGCUGAGAUAAUGGCCCUUUUAACAGAUUGCCAAUGACCUGCGAAUUGUUCGAAUAGAAUCAUUUAUCCGAAGAGAAUUUCUUUCUUACGGUUAUGAAUUUUACGAAUUUUCAAGAGUAUUCUCAUCCUCCGAGGAAAAAGAAAAUAGACUCUUCAAUAGAAGGAAUCUGGCAACUUUCAAGGUUUGUUCAAAAAUACUGAAGCAAACAUUAAUCUCAAAUGCCACAGAGUACUGAAAAGAAAAGGGCAGUAGUUAAUGUUCACUGACGUCGCCACCGCCUCCACCGCCACCACCGCCGCUGCCAACGUCGUCGUCAUCAUCGUCAUUUAUUUCCAGAUAUACUAUAAUGUUAAAGAUGAAUAACCACAGCGUAUCAUUUCGAGGCCAGUUCGACACGAUGCCAGCAAUUUUCUCAACAUUGCUUUGGAAGAUGAAGAAUGAAGAAUAGUUAUCAGGUAUAUGUAUUGUAUAGAAUAAAAAUGAUAUUGUGUAAUAUUUUACGUAAUCUCUAUAUGUACCUACCUAAUUUAAACACAAAUAAAUAAUUUCUCAAUGAACUGAUCUUCUCUAAAUAUUUACUUACUUUCAUUUAUCUAAAAUGAUGAAGCAGUUGAAAAGGCAUAAAGAAUACAAUGACCCCUAUGCAUUUUGAAAACUUAAUUCGAUAAGGGCUAAUUAGGCUUGUACUAUUUUAAUAUUUGUUUUUCUGAAAUUAUUCUCUUCAAAUGGAUGAUUUCUCAUCAAAAUAAUGUACUUAGUCCUGUUUCAUAAUUACCUCUUAAUACAUACUAAUUCAUUUAGAUAAUUUCAUGUUGGAAAAAAUUUGUUUUGAUGUAAGUAUUAAAUGAGCCAAAUCGAGAACAACUGGCCCAUAACAGCAUUUUUUUGAACUUUACUACAAAAUCCAGCAUUCGAGAAUAUUCUUCCACCAAUUUAAACCAAUAUUGUAGUCUACAUACAGUUCAAUCAUCGACAAAGUGUGCAGUGGACUGGUAUUUUUGUGAUGCAAAAAAUUCAGCUAGUCUUUCGUAGACAUAUGGAUUUAACUAAGUAUUUGCCAAUCUACAUAAUACUGAAAUGGGUUAAAUUUUCAGUAGAAAAGUGUCUAUAGUAGAAAAUCAACUCCCUGCAAUCCAUCAAAUUAUGAAUCCAAGUAUUUUGACUAAAUUAUAUUAUUUCUUGAGCAUUUUUAAAGAAUUUCAAUUCAAAAAUUGAGUAAUGAUUUUCAUCAUUCAUGGUUUUUAAAUAAAUAAAAUUUUCACAGAAAAUCAAAAAUUUUAGCAAAACUUUUUUGAGCACUUUUGAG